AAAUGAAUAGACGGGGACCCGCACAAGCGGUGGAGCGUGUUGUUUAAUUCGAUGGUAAGCGAAGAACCUUACCAAGGCUUGAAAUCCCGAUAGAGAUUCUUCGAAAGAAGAGUUGCAUUUAGUUGGAUCGGUGACAGGUGCUGCAUGGCCGUCGUCAGCUCGUGUCGUGAGAUGUAUGGUUAAGUCCAUUAACGAGCGCAACCCUUAUGUUUAGUUGGAUUUUUCUAAACAGACUGCCCUGGCAACAGGGAGGAGGGGGGGGAUGAUGUCAGGUCAGUAUUGCCCUUACGCCUUGGGCUACAAACACGCUACAAUGGCCGGUACAAAGGGCUGCCAACCCGCGAGGGGGAGCAAAUCCCAUCAAAGCCGGUCUCAGUUCGGAUAGCAGGCUGAAACUCGCCUGCUUGAAGCUGGAAUCGCUAGUAACGGUAGGUCAGCACACUACCGUGAAUACGUUCCCGGGUCUUGUACACACCGCCCGU
Molecule: ribosomal RNA, 482 nt
Filed under: uncultured bacterium
Lineage: Bacteria
Description: bacterial SSU rRNA
Rfam family: Bacterial small subunit ribosomal RNA
Source: RNAcentral